GCGGGCGUGGCGGAACUGGCAGACGCGCGGGAUUUAGGUUCCCGUGGCCGCGAGGCCGUGCAGGUUCGAUUCCUGUCGCCCGCA
RNAcentral lists this transfer RNA (84 nucleotides) under bacterium. RNAcentral's name for it is "tRNA-Leu". It matches the Rfam family "tRNA". From Rfam's summary of the family: Transfer RNA (tRNA) molecules are approximately 80 nucleotides in length. RNAcentral also lists the same sequence under 2 other names. The record is from RNAcentral.